GCAUGCCGCGUGCAGGAUGAAGGCCUUCGGGUUGUAAACUGCUUUUGUACGGAACGAAACGGUCUCUUCUAAUACAGGGGGCUAAUGACGGUACCGUAAGAAUAAGCACCGGCUAACUACGUGCCAGCAGCCGCGGUAAUACGUAGGGUGCGAGCGUUAAUCGGAAUUACUGGGCGUAAAGCGUGCGCAGGCGGUGAUGUAAGACAGAUGUGAAAUCCCCGGGCUCAACCUGGGACCUGCAUUUGUGACUGCAUCGCUAGAGUACGGUAGAGGGGGAUGGAAUUCCGCGUGUAGCAGUGAAAUGCGUAGAUAUGCGGAGGAACACCGAUGGCGAAGGCAAUCCCCUGGACCUGUACUGACGCUCAUGCACGAAAGCGUGGGGAGCAAACAGGAUUAGAUACCCUGGUAGUCCACGCCCUAAACGAUGUCAACUGGUUGUUGGGUCUUCACUGACUCAGUAACGAAGCUAACGCGU
This 475-nucleotide ribosomal RNA is filed under the name Comamonadaceae bacterium. Its description in RNAcentral is "bacterial SSU rRNA". It matches the Rfam family "Bacterial small subunit ribosomal RNA", at positions 392 to 860 of the family's 1533-position model. The record is from RNAcentral. Lineage: Bacteria; Pseudomonadati; Pseudomonadota; Betaproteobacteria; Burkholderiales; Comamonadaceae.